UCCGGUUUGUCACCGGCAGUCUCACUAGAGUGCCCUUGCGUAGCAACUAGUGACAAGGGUUGCGCUCGUUGCGGGACUUAACCCAACAUCUCACGACACGAGCUGACGACAGCCAUGCAGCACCUGUGUCCAGGCUCCCUUUCGGGCACACUCACCUCUCAGCAAGCUUCCUGGCAUGUCAAGGGUAGGUAAGGUUCUUCGCGUUGCAUCGAAUUAAUCCACAUGCUCCACCGCUUGUGCGGGCCCCCGUCAAUUCCUUUGAGUUUCGACCUUGCGGCCGUACUCCCCAGGCGGGGUGCUUAAUGCGUUUGCUACGGCACCACAGGAGUCAAUGCCCGUGACACCUAGCACCCAUCGUUUACGGCGUGGACUAC
Molecule: unclassified non-coding RNA, 374 nt
Filed under: uncultured Pseudomonadota bacterium
Lineage: Bacteria; Pseudomonadati; Pseudomonadota
Description: uncultured proteobacterium contains 16S-23S intergenic spacer region
Source: RNAcentral